RNAcentral lists this ribosomal RNA (495 nucleotides) under uncultured bacterium. Its description in RNAcentral is "partial 16S ribosomal RNA". It matches the Rfam family "Bacterial small subunit ribosomal RNA", at positions 28 to 505 of the family's 1533-position model. The record is from RNAcentral.
GAUGAACGCUGGCGGCGUGCCUAAUACAUGCAAGUCGAGCGAACAGACGAGGAGCUUGCUCCUCUGACGUUAGCGGCGGACGGGUGAGUAACACGUGGAUAACCUACCUAUAAGACUGGGAUAACUUCGGGAAACCGGAGCUAAUACCGGAUAAUAUAUUGAACCGCAUGGUUCAAUAGUGAAAGACGGUUUUGCUGUCACUUAUAGAUGGAUCCGCGCCGCAUUAGCUAGUUGGUAAGGUAACGGCUUACCAAGGCAACGAUGCGUAGCCGACCUGAGAGGGUGAUCGGCCACACUGGAACUGAGGCACGGUCCAGACUCCUACGGGAGGCAGCAGUAGGGAAUCUUCCGCAAUGGGCGAAAGCCUGACGGAGCAACGCCGCGUGAGUGAUGAAGGUCUUCGGAUCGUAAAACUCUGUUAUUAGGGAAGAACAAAUGUGUAAGUAACUAUGCACGUCUUGACGGUACCUAAUCAGAAAGCCACGGAUAACUACG